RNAcentral lists this ribosomal RNA (422 nucleotides) under uncultured bacterium. Its description in RNAcentral is "bacterial SSU rRNA". It matches the Rfam family "Bacterial small subunit ribosomal RNA", at positions 360 to 775 of the family's 1533-position model. The record is from RNAcentral.
AAUUUUGCGCAAUGGGCGGAAGCCUGACGCAGCAACGCCGCGUGGAGGAUGAAGGUCCUUGGAUUGUAAACUCCUGUCAGCGGGGAAAAAGCGACUGGACCUAAUACGUCCGGGAGUUGAUUGUACCCGCAGAGGAAGCCCCGGCUAACUCUGUGCCAGCAGCCGCGGUAAUACAGAGGGGGCGAGCGUUAUUCGGAAUUAUUGGGCGUAAAGGGCGCGUAGGCGGCCUGACAAGUGACGGGUGAAAUCCCUCGGCUCAACCGAGGAUCUGCCUGUCAGACUGUUGGGCUUGAGACCGGGAGAGGUGAGUGGAAUUCCAGUGUAGCGGUGAAAUGCGUAGAUAUUGGGAGGAACACCAGUGGCGAAGGCGGCUCACUGGACCGGAACUGACGCUGAGGCGCGAAAGCGUGGGGAGCAAACAG